Schistosoma margrebowiei is the source of this 46-nucleotide non-coding RNA. The record is from Rfam. Lineage: Eukaryota; Metazoa; Platyhelminthes; Trematoda; Strigeidida; Schistosomatidae.
GCACUGCUGAGGAGUCCCAUACUAAGACGAAACCGCCGUCCAGUGC